AGCCGCGACCACACGGGACUUUCCCUUGAGGGGAGACGGGGCAGGGAGCGGCCCGAGUCACACCCCCAAAUUAUCCUGGCUUUUGGGGUGCGGGUCUCCGAGGCGCCUAUGAGGCAACAAACACAUUAUUCCGUGACUUCCCGGCGGACUGGCCUGGCAGCACUGUGUGUGGAGGUUUUCAUGGUGCAUUUUGGAAUUUACAGUCUUAAGUGGCAGAGGAAGCGCCCAGGUGCCUUUGUACCCAAUUACCCUGGCCCUUGGCUAUGGAGGGAUGUUUGGGUAGUGUUCAGGUAGAGACUGGCUAAGUUGUUCGGGCUUAGUACCAGCCACUUGUUUUCAUGGUGUGCGAAGGGCAGAAAGCGUGUCGGAUGUGGCGUGUUCCCGAUAGGCGAUUUUAACAACGUGACUUGUGAAGCCUGGCGUCCUAACCUUAGAUAACUUUCACAGAAGACCCAUCCAAUCUUUAUUAUUCAUUCUGGUUGCUAUUUUUUUCCCUUUUUCAUACUUUUAUGUGAUUAUCAAGUAGCACAGAGUAUUUUAGGCAUAAAUGUACUAUAACAUCAAGAAUAAUUAUGAUAGCUAUUAUUUAUUGUCAGCUGCCUCUUUGUCAAACCUGUGGUGUAUACUUUGUACAUUUUAGCACUUUUAAUCUUCAGCACCUUUAAUCUUCACAACCACCCUAUGUGUAUUAUUGAUAAAUUAAUUUUACAUUUUAUAGUUGAGGAAAUAGAGAAGUAACUUGGCUAAGGCAAAGCAGCUAUUAAGUUCUGGAGCUUGGAUUUGAACCUAGGCUGCCUGAUUCAUAGCAUCCCUGAUUGCUGUAAUCCUUUGACUCUGGGCCAGAAAGCCUAUAUUGUAGUUAUGGCUCCAUCACUUAAUAGAUCUGUGUCCUUGGACAUGUUUUGUGGUGUCUUCGAAUCUUAUUUCUUAUAUCCUAAAAGUGGGAAAACUAAUUCAUUCACAGCCCACAGGGUUGUUAGGAUGAUAAUAUGAGAGAGAAUAUAUAUGAUAGAUCUUUGUAACAUAGUAAGGGUACAUUAUCUAUAUAUUUCACCAUAAACUCAUUCAACAAAGGUUUUUUGCAUGUUCAUUAUGUACCAGAUGUUGUUACUGGCAUUGAAAACCUGAAAAUAGGAUGACCAACUUAUCCUGGUUUUAGCAGUAAAAGCCCCAAGUCCCAGGAAUCCUCUGUGUUAAUUUCCUAUUGCUGCUGUAACAAGUUACCGAAAGUUUAGUGACUUAAAACAACAUACAUUUAUUAUCAGUUUUGUGGGUCAGAAGUCCAAAAUAAGUCUUAACUGGGCUAAAGUCAAGGUGUCAGCAGGCCUGGUUCCUUGAGGCUCUAAGGGGAAGAAUCUACUUCUUGACUUUUUCAGCUUCUUGGGUCUGCUUGCAUUCUGUUGAUUGCCAUUCAAAAAAGGAAAAAAAAAAAAACACUUGCCUUAAGUG
Bubalus bubalis (water buffalo) is the source of this 1449-nucleotide long non-coding RNA. RefSeq lists it as uncharacterized. The transcript is spliced from 2 exons. The record is from RefSeq and is a predicted model, not a curated record. Lineage: Eukaryota; Metazoa; Chordata; Mammalia; Artiodactyla; Bovidae.